Molecule: ribosomal RNA, 1372 nt
Filed under: uncultured bacterium
Lineage: Bacteria
Description: bacterial SSU rRNA
Rfam family: Bacterial small subunit ribosomal RNA
Source: RNAcentral
GAUGAACGCUGGCGGCGUGCCUAAUACAUGCAAGUCGAGCGAACGGACGAGAAGCUUGCUUUUCUGAUGUUAGCGGCGGACGGGUGAGUAACACGUGGAUAACCUACCUAUAAGACUGGGAUAACUUCGGGAAACCGGAGCUAAUACCGGAUAAUAUUUUGAACCGCAUGGUUCAAAAGUGAAAGACGGUCUUGCUGUCACUUAUAGAUGGAUCCGCGCUGCAUUAGCUAGUUGGUAAGGUAACGGCUUACCAAGGCAACGAUGCAUAGCCGACCUGAGAGGGUGAUCGGCCACACUGGAACUGAGACACGGUCCAGACUCCUACGGGAGGCAGCAGUAGGGAAUCUUCCGCAAUGGGCGAAAGCCUGACGGAGCAACGCCGCGUGAGUGAUGAAGGUCUUCGGAUCGUAAAACUCUGUUAUUAGGGAAGAACAUAUGUGUAAGUAACUGUGCACAUCUUGACGGUACCUAAUCAGAAAGCCACGGCUAACUACGUGCCAGCAGCCGCGGUAAUACGUAGGUGGCAAGCGUUAUCCGGAAUUAUUGGGCGUAAAGCGCGCGUAGGCGGUUUUUUAAGUCUGAUGUGAAAGCCCACGGCUCAACCGUGGAGGGUCAUUGGAAACUGGAAAACUUGAGUGCAGAAGAGGAAAGUGGAAUUCCAUGUGUAGCGGUGAAAUGCGCAGAGAUAUGGAGGAACACCAGUGGCGAAGGCGACUUUCUGGUCUGUAACUGACGCUGAUGUGCGAAAGCGUGGGGAUCAAACAGGAUUAGAUACCCUGGUAGUCCACGCCGUAAACGAUGAGUGCUAAGUGUUAGGGGGUUUCCGCCCCUUAGUGCUGCAGCUAACGCAUUAAGCACUCCGCCUGGGGAGUACGACCGCAAGGUUGAAACUCAAAGGAAUUGACGGGGACCCGCACAAGCGGUGGAGCAUGUGGUUUAAUUCGAAGCAACGCGAAGAACCUUACCAAAUCUUGACAUCCUUUGACAACUCUAGAGAUAGAGCCUUCCCCUUCGGGGGACAAAGUGACAGGUGGUGCAUGGUUGUCGUCAGCUCGUGUCGUGAGAUGUCGGGUUAAGUCCCGCAACGAGCGCAACCCUUAAGCUUAGUUGCCAUCAUUAAGUUGGGCACUCUAAGUUGACUGCCGGUGACAAACCGGAGGAAGGUGGGGAUGACGUCAAAUCAUCAUGCCCCUUAUGAUUUGGGCUACACACGUGCUACAAUGGACAAUACAAAGGGCAGCGAAACCGCGAGGUCAAGCAAAUCCCAUAAAGUUGUUCUCAGUUCGGAUUGUAGUCUGCAACUCGACUACAUGAAGCUGGAAUCGCUAGUAAUCGUAGAUCAGCAUGCUACGGUGAAUACGUUCCCGGGUCU